This 465-nucleotide ribosomal RNA is filed under the name uncultured bacterium. Its description in RNAcentral is "partial 16S ribosomal RNA". It matches the Rfam family "Bacterial small subunit ribosomal RNA", at positions 28 to 507 of the family's 1533-position model. The record is from RNAcentral.
GACGAACGCUGGCGGCGUGCUUAACACAUGCAAGUCGAACGGUGAACUCCGCUUGCGGGGGGAUCAGUGGCGAACGGGUGAGUAACACGUGGGCAACCUGCCCUCAGCUCUGGGAUAACUCCAAGAAAUUGGGGCUAAUACCGGAUAUGACCGCUGACCGCAUGGCCUGGUGGUGGAAAGAUUUAUCGGCUGGGGAUGGGCCCGCGGCCUAUCAGCUUGUUGGUGGGGUAGUGGCCUACCAAGGCGACGACGGGUAGCCGGCCUGAGAGGGUGACCGGCCACACUGGGACUGAGACACGGCCCAGACUCCUACGGGAGGCAGCAGUGGGGAAUAUUGCGCAAUGGGCGAAAGCCUGACGCAGCGACGCCGCGUGGGGGAUGACGGCCUUCGGGUUGUAAACCUCUUUCAGCAGGGACGAAGCGAAAGUGACGGUACCUGCAGAAGAAGCACCGGCCAACUACGUG